Molecule: ribosomal RNA, 1280 nt
Filed under: Brinjal little leaf phytoplasma
Lineage: Bacteria; Bacillati; Mycoplasmatota; Mollicutes; Acholeplasmatales; Acholeplasmataceae
Description: bacterial SSU rRNA
Rfam family: Bacterial small subunit ribosomal RNA
Source: RNAcentral
CUGGAUAGGAAACAAAAAGGCAUCUUUUUGUUUUUAAAAGACCUUCUUAUGAAGGUAUGCUUAAAGAGGGGCUUGCGCCACAUUAGUUAGUUGGUAGAGUAAAAGCCUACCAAGACGAUGAUGUGUAGCUGGACUGAGAGGUUGAACAGCCACAUUGGGACUGAGACACGGCCCAAACUCCUACGGGAGGCAGCAGUAGGGAAUUUUCGGCAAUGGAGGAAACUCUGACCGAGCAACGCCGCGUGAACGAUGAAGUAUUUCGGUAUGUAAAGUUCUUUUAUUGAAGAAGAAAAAGUAGUGGAAAAACUAUAUUGACGUUAUUCAAUGAAUAAGCCCCGGCUAACUAUGUGCCAGCAGCCGCGGUAAGACAUAGGGGGCGAGCGUUAUCCGGAAUUAUUGGGCGUAAAGGGUGCGUAGGCUGUUAGAUAAGUCUAUAAUUUAAUUUCAGUGCUUAACGCUGUCUUGUUAUAGAAACUGUCUUGACUAGAGUGAGAUAGAGGCAAGCGGAAUUCCAUGUGUAGCGGUAAAAUGUGUAAAUAUAUGGAGGAACACCAGAAGCGUAGGCGGCUUGCUGGGUCUUUACUGACGCUGAGGCACGAAAGCGUGGGUAGCAAACAGGAUUAGAUACCCUGGUAGUCCACGCCGUAAACGAUGAGUACUAAGUGUCGGGGUAAAACUCGGUACUGAAGUUAACACAUUAAGUACUCCGCCUGAGUAGUACGUACGCAAGUAUGAAACUUAAAGGAAUUGACGGGACUCCGCACAAGCGGUGGAUCAUGUUGUUUAAUUCGAAGAUACACGAAAAAUCUUACCAGGUCUUGACAUACUCUGCAAAGCUAUAGAAAUAUAGUGGAGGUUAUCAGGGAUACAGGUGGUGCAUGGUUGUCGUCAGUUCGUGUCGUGAGAUGUUAGGUUAAGUCCUAAAACGAGCGCAACCCUUGUCGUUAAUUGCCAGCACGUAAUGGUGGGGACUUUAGCGAGACUGCCAAUUAAACAUUGGAGGAAGGUGAGGAUUACGUCAAAUCAUCAUGCCCCUUAUGAUCUGGGCUACAAACGUGAUACAAUGGCUGUGACAAAGAGUAGCUGAAACGCGAGUUUUUAGCCAAUCUCAAAAAAGCAGUCUCAGUUCGGAUUGAAGUCUGUAACUCGACUUCAUGAAGUUGGAAUCGCUAGUAAUCGCGAAUCAGCAUGUCGCGGUGAAUACGUUCUCGGGGUUUGUACACACCGCCCGUCAAACCACGAAAGUUAGCAAUGCCCGAAAGCAGUAGCUUAACUUCGCA